Molecule: small nucleolar RNA, 136 nt
Organism: Myotis lucifugus (little brown bat)
Lineage: Eukaryota; Metazoa; Chordata; Mammalia; Chiroptera; Vespertilionidae
Source: Ensembl
GUGUGAUCCUGAGAACAAAUUCAAGAAAUAGUAUGCUGCAGUGCAACCAUAGGCAGUGACACACAUCAAAACAUAUGGUUCCUGCCGACAGGGUCUGUAUAGUUAUCAAGUUGUCUGUGCGAUGGCUCCAUACAUG